CCUACGGGGCGCAGCAGUGAGGAAUAUUGGUCAAUGGACGGAAGUCUGAACCAGCCAUGCCGCGUGCAGGAAGACGGCUCUAUGAGUUGUAAACUGCUUUUGUACAAGGGUAAACCUGAAUACGUGUAUUCAGCUGAAAGUACUGUACGAAUAAGGAUCGGCUAACUCCGUGCCAGCAGCCGCGGUAAUACGGAGGGUGCAAGCGUUGUCCGGAAUCAUUGGGCGUAAAGAGUUCGUAGGUGGCAUAUUAAGUCUGGUGUUAAAUGCAGAAGCUCAACUUCUGUUCGGCACUGGAUACUGGUAAGCUGGAAUGCGGUAGAGGUAAAGGGAAUUCCUGGUGUAGCGGUGAAAUGCGUAGAUAUCAGGAGGAACAUCGGUGGCGUAAGCGCUUUACUGGGCCGUAAUUGACACUGAGGAACGAAAGCCGGGGUAGCAAAUGGGAUUAGAUACCCGAGUAGUC
Molecule: ribosomal RNA, 460 nt
Filed under: uncultured bacterium
Lineage: Bacteria
Description: partial 16S ribosomal RNA
Rfam family: Bacterial small subunit ribosomal RNA
Source: RNAcentral